This 437-nucleotide ribosomal RNA is filed under the name uncultured bacterium. Its description in RNAcentral is "partial 16S ribosomal RNA". It matches the Rfam family "Bacterial small subunit ribosomal RNA", at positions 339 to 795 of the family's 1533-position model. The record is from RNAcentral.
CUACGGGGCUCCAGUGAGGAAUAUUGCACAAUGGGGGGAACCCUGAUGCAGCAACGCCGCGUGGAGGAUGACGCAUUUCGGUAUGUAAACUCCUUUUAUAUGUCAAGAAAAUGACGGUAGCAUAUGAAUAAGCGCCGGCUAACUCCGUGCCAGCAGCCGCGGUAAUACGGAGGGCGCAAGCGUUACUCGGAAUCACUGGGCGUAAAGGACGCGUAGGCGGGUUGAAAAGUCAGGUGUGAAAGCCUACAGCUUAACUGUAGAACUGCACUUGAAACUCUCAAUCUAGAGUAUGGGAGGGGCAGAUGGAAUUAGUGGUGUAGGGGUAAAAUCCGUAGAUAUCACUAGGAAUACCUAAAGCGAAGGCGAUCUGCUGGAACAUUACUGACGCUAAGGCGUGAAAGCGUGGGGAGCAAACAGGAUUAGAUACCCUAGUAGUC